UCUGAUUUGUUUCCUUAAUUCUAGAAGCUUUAAACUUAAUUCCUGAUUACCUAAUUAGUCUAGGGUUUUUAAUUUCCUAAUCCCUUUAAAUAAACAUGUUUGUGCAGCCACAAACAUGUCCAUUCAGCCACACACUCUCCCAAAAUUCGUCAAAACCCAUCCACAACCUCAGAAACCAGUCCUCCUCCAUCUCUGCCGAUUUCCACCACCAUUCUUCAUCUCCACACCUUCCACACAACACCCAUACACUACCCCCAAGCCUUGCCGUGCCCCUACACCAUCCAUAAUCCAUUCUACAUCACAAAAAACCCCCCAGAAAUCAUCCUCCCCCAAUCUGCCGCAAGGAGAAGAGA
Molecule: long non-coding RNA, 353 nt
Filed under: Malus domestica (apple)
Lineage: Eukaryota; Viridiplantae; Streptophyta; Magnoliopsida; Rosales; Rosaceae
Description: long non-coding RNA (MDOM_LNC010397)
Source: RNAcentral